UUCGCCGUGAUCAGCUGUCCUGUUGCAAACAACGGAAUUCGUAUCGAAUCAACAUCAUAAUCUUGUACAUAGUCCGCUAUUCUGCAGUGAUUUUCUUCCAAUCCAGUAUCAUUUGUACGUUGCAGCAUCAUCGAACACUAUGACCCAUGAAUCAGAAGAUAACGUAGAUGCUACGAGAGAGCUCAUUUCACAAUGGACAACAGAAGUGUUACGUGACUUUCUACAAGGAGGGGACUCAAGCUUGGAAAUCGAGUACCGGUAGUCAUUAUUUUAUGGGUGUUCUCUGCCUUGACUCUGGGGGUACUGUUCAGCCAUCCGAGGUAGAGAUAAACUGGACGAUGGAUGGAGAGGGGGGGGGGGGGGGGGGGGGGGGGGGAGAAAGGCAUGCAGACUGCAGAGCUGGUCGUCUACUAUGUAUAGAGACAUUUGUGUGUACCUAGUAGAUAAGGACCCUCCAUCACUAGAGGGAAGAAUGAGAGACUACAAAGAGGGAAAGGCAUUUAGUUAUUUUGCCAGUUUCUGGUUAGGGAGAUAUUUUUUUCAUCUCGUGGGAGAAAGCUGUCUGUAAUUCAAAAUCAUUUGAUACUUGAAUAAAUUUAGUUCAUUUUCUAGACUGUUUCAUGUCAAACCGUUGAUUCUACUUUCUUGUGAGUAUAGUCAGAGAGAUAGAGAAGUAACACGAGUAAA
Molecule: long non-coding RNA, 687 nt
Filed under: Strongylocentrotus purpuratus (purple sea urchin)
Lineage: Eukaryota; Metazoa; Echinodermata; Echinoidea; Camarodonta; Strongylocentrotidae
Description: uncharacterized LOC105440701
Source: RNAcentral